Non-coding RNA from Podarcis lilfordi (Lilford's wall lizard), 77 nucleotides. The record is from the annotation of a GenBank genome assembly. Lineage: Eukaryota; Metazoa; Chordata; Lepidosauria; Squamata; Lacertidae.
UUUACAAUAGCUCAGUUGGUAAAGCACGAGGCUCUUGAUCUCAGGGUCGUGGGUUUGAGCCCCACGGUGGACCAAAA